RNAcentral lists this long non-coding RNA (324 nucleotides) under Homo sapiens (human). RNAcentral's name for it is "HSALNT0332960". The record is from RNAcentral. Lineage: Eukaryota; Metazoa; Chordata; Mammalia; Primates; Hominidae.
CCGGCCGGGCGGUCGCCCUGACAACGCAGACGCCAGCCCGCACAAUGACUUCCAGCUGGAGCAGCCCAGCCAGCCUGCGCGCUCACUCGCUUGCUUGCGCUGGGCUUCAGGGCGCCCGGAUUUCUUGCUUCAAAACAGCUGCAUUUUUGGAAGAAAGUCCACAACUGACAACUAAGCAAAACCCUCCUGGUGGAUAGCAUAAAUCUGCUUUGUUGAAGCUGCUCAUUUGUCUGAUCUAUGAGUCCAGAAGAUGCAAACUCCCUUCCCAGCUUAUGCAAAAAUACUUCCAGUAAAAACAAGCCCUUUGGCCCUUUUCUUUUGUCA